CUACGGAGGGAGCAAGCGUUAUUCGGAAUCACUGGGCGUAAAGGACGCGUAGGCGGGUUUGUAAGUCAGGUGUGAAAUCCUACAGCUCAACUGUAGAACUGCACUUGAAACUACAGACCUAGAGUAUGGAAGGGGCAGAUGGAAUUAGUGGUGUAGGGGUAAAAUCCGUAGAUAUCACUAGGAAUACCGAAAGCGAAGGCGAUCUGCUGGGACAUUACUGACGCUGAGGCGUGAAAGCGUGGGGAGCAAACAGGAUUAGAAACCCUAGUAGUCC
This 274-nucleotide ribosomal RNA is filed under the name uncultured bacterium. RNAcentral describes it as "partial 16S ribosomal RNA". It matches the Rfam family "Bacterial small subunit ribosomal RNA", at positions 523 to 796 of the family's 1533-position model. The record is from RNAcentral.